CCUACGGGUGGCAGCAGUGGGGGAUAUUGCACAAUGGGGGGAACCCUGAUGCAGCGACGCCGCGUGUGGGAAGACGGUCCUCUGGUUUGUAAACCACUGUCCCCAGGGACGAAAAUGACGGUACCUGGGGAGGAAGCUCCGGCUAACUACGUGCCAGCAGCCGCGGUAAUACGUAGGGAGCGAGCGUUGUCCGGAAUUACUGGGUGAAAAGGGAGCGUAGGCGGGGAUGCAAGUUGGGUGGCAAAACUACCGGCUCAACUGGUAGUCGCACUCAAAACUGCAGCUCUUGAGGGAAGUAGAGGCAGGCGGAAGGCCUAGUGUAGCGGUGAAAGGCGUAGAUAGUAGGAGGAACACCAGUGGCGAAGGCGGCCUGCUGGGCUUUUACUGACGCUGAGGCUCGAAAGUGUGGGGAGCAAACAGGAUUAGAUACCCUUGUAGUC
RNAcentral lists this ribosomal RNA (440 nucleotides) under uncultured bacterium. RNAcentral describes it as "partial 16S ribosomal RNA". It matches the Rfam family "Bacterial small subunit ribosomal RNA", at positions 338 to 795 of the family's 1533-position model. The record is from RNAcentral.